RNAcentral lists this ribosomal RNA (240 nucleotides) under uncultured bacterium. RNAcentral's name for it is "partial 16S ribosomal RNA". It matches the Rfam family "Bacterial small subunit ribosomal RNA", at positions 94 to 334 of the family's 1533-position model. The record is from RNAcentral.
AGUGGCGCACGGGUGAGUAACACAUGGCUGACCUGCCCUUCAGAGGGGGACAACCACUAGAAAUGGUGGCUAAUACCCCAUAUGCUCACGGGAUUUAGAAACUUGUGAGGAAAAGCUCCGGCGCUGAAGGAGGGGGCUGUGGCCCAUCAGCUAGUUGGUGUGGUAACGGCGCACCAAGGCGAGGACGGGUAGGGGGCCUGAGAGGGUGACCCCCCACACGGGUACUGAGACACGGACCCG